Long non-coding RNA from Salvia miltiorrhiza (redroot sage), 728 nucleotides. RefSeq lists it as uncharacterized. The record is from RefSeq and is a predicted model, not a curated record. Lineage: Eukaryota; Viridiplantae; Streptophyta; Magnoliopsida; Lamiales; Lamiaceae. The transcript is spliced from 2 exons.
AGAAGCACACAUUAAAAAACGGCUACAAGUUGAGAGAGAUGGGAGAAUACACGACAUUCACCAAAUUGCAAGUUGCUGAGAGAGAGAGAGAGAAGAAUUCACGAAGAGUUCAAUUGUUGUGUAGUCCCACUGUUGGUGAGUUGAGGUGGCUCAGUGGUUCGCAAGGACACGAAUUGUCCAGAACCCGUUAGAAAACAUCUCAUGGCGUAAAUUGCAAAUCCGCUAUGCCCAGGAGGAUAAGCAGUUUCACCAGCCAGAUCAAUGCAGCUCUGGUAUUUAUGUGUGCAUGUAUGUGGAGCGUCUGGUAUCAGGCUCUCCGAGCAUUGCGUGGGCAAUAGUCACGCCCCCGACUAUAGGCGCAAGAUAGGCAGUAGCAUCUACGAGUUUUGCAUCCCCGGAGCAAAAGAUUAUGUAUUUCUACUUGUAAAUGAUUAUUAUGCAUAUUGAUAUUUUGAUUAGAUAUUGGAGUAUCUGUUAGUGUAUAUUUCUCUUCAUUUUCAAUUGCAACCUACAUAAAACAGUAAAAUAAGAUGAAAUAUACAAUUAGCCGCCAGAAAAUCACUAGCCGCUAUUAAAAAUCUCAGCGGCUAAUGACGGCAGCUAAUGAAUUUCUGGCGGCUAACUGGAUAUUUCAUCUUAUUUUAUUGUUUAAUGCAUAACCAAGGUAUCUCAAGUUAUUUUAUGCUAUGUACUCAACUUUUAUAUAAAACAUUGUUCAUUUCUCUAAA